UACGGAGGGUGCAAGCGUUGUUCGGAAUCACUGGGCGUAAAGCGCGUGUAGGCGGUUGGGUAAGUCAGAUGUGAAAGCCCCGGGCUCAACUCGGGAACUGCAUCUGAAACUGCCCUGCUAGAGUCCCGGAGAGGAAGGCGGAACUCCCAGUGUAGGGGUGAAAUCCGUAGAUACUGGGAAGAACACCGGCGGCGAAGGCGGCCUUCUGGACGGUGACUGACGCUGAGACGCGAAAGCGUGGGGAGCAAACAGG
RNAcentral lists this ribosomal RNA (253 nucleotides) under uncultured bacterium. Its description in RNAcentral is "partial 16S ribosomal RNA". It matches the Rfam family "Bacterial small subunit ribosomal RNA", at positions 524 to 776 of the family's 1533-position model. The record is from RNAcentral.